CGAGUCCGAGUCUCCACGGAGACGAAGUGGCGGUCAUCCAGCUUCCUAGAAAAGCUCUAACCACGUUAAUCUUUAGUUGCCUGUACCCGAAACCGACACAGGUAGGGGGGUAGAGAAUACCAAGGGGCGCGAGAUAACUCUCUCUAAGGAACUCGGCAAAAUGACCCCGUAACUUCGGGAGAAGGGGUACCACUGAGAAGUGGUCGCAGUGAAGAGGCCCAGGCGACUGUUUACCAAAAACACAGGUCUCCGCCAAGUCGCAAGACGAAGUAUGGGGGCUGACGCCUGCCCAGUGCCGGAAGGUUAAGGAAGUGGGUUAGGGAUUCGUCCCGAAGCUGACGACUGAAGCCCCGGUGAACGGCGGCCGUAACUAUAACGGUCCUAAGGUAGCGAAAUUCCUUGUCGGGUAAGUUCCGACCCGCACGAAAGGCGUAACGAUCUGGGCGCUGUCUCGGAGAGAGGCUCGGCGAAAUAGGAUUGUCUGUGAAGAUACGGACUACCUGCACCUGGACAGAAAGACCCUAUGAAGCUUUACUGUAGCUUGGAAUUGGGUUCGGGCUUGGUUUGCGCAGGAUAGGUGGGAGGCGAAGAAGAUUUGCUUGUGGGUGAAUCUGAGCCAACGGUGAGAUACCACUCUAACCAGGCUAGAAUUCUAACUUCAACCCGUCAACCGGGGGAAGGACAGUUUCAGGUGGGCAGUUUGACUGGGGCGGUCGCCUCCUAAAAGAUAACGGAGGCGCACAAAGGUUCCCUCAGGCUGGUUGGAAAUCAGCCAACGAGUGCAAAGGCAGAAGGGAGCUUGACUGCGAGACCUACAAGUCAAGCAGGGUGGAAACACGGUCUUAGUGAUCCGACGGCACCGAGUGGAAGGGCCGUCGCUCAACGGAUAAAAGUUACUCUAAGGAUAACAGGCUGAUCUCCCCCAAGAGUUCACAUCGACGGGGAGGUUUGGCACCUCGAUGUCGGCUCAUCGCAACCUGGGGCGGAAGUACGUCCCAAGGGUUGGGCUGUUCGCCCAUUAAAGCGGUACGUGAGCUGGGUUCAGAACGUCGUGAGACAGUUCGGUCCAUAUCCGGUGUAGGCGCAAGAACAUUGAGAGGAGUCUUCCUUAGUACGAGAGGACCGGGAAGAACGCACCCUGGUGUACCUGUUAUCGUGCCAACGGUAAACGCAGGGUAGCCAAGUGCGGAGUGGAUAACCGCUGAAAGCAUCUAAGUGGGAAGCCCACCUCAAGAUGAGUGUUCUCAUGGAGUAAUCCAGUAAGGUCACGGGAAGACGACCCGUUGAUAGGCGGUAGGUGGAAGUUCAGCAAUGGAUGAAGCCGAGCCGUACUAACAGACCGAGGGCUUGAC
This 1352-nucleotide ribosomal RNA is filed under the name metagenome. RNAcentral's name for it is "bacterial LSU rRNA". It matches the Rfam family "Bacterial large subunit ribosomal RNA", at positions 1564 to 2925 of the family's 2925-position model. The record is from RNAcentral.